This 253-nucleotide ribosomal RNA is filed under the name uncultured bacterium. RNAcentral's name for it is "partial 16S ribosomal RNA". It matches the Rfam family "Bacterial small subunit ribosomal RNA", at positions 524 to 776 of the family's 1533-position model. The record is from RNAcentral.
UACGGAGGGUGCAAGCGUUAUCCGGAUUUACUGGGUUUAAAGGGUGCGUAGGUGGGUAGUUAAGUCAGGGGUGAAAUCUUCGGGCUUAACCCGGAAACUGCCAUUGAUACUAUUUAUCUUGAAUACUUUGGAGGUAAGCGGAAUAUGUCAUGUAGCGGUGAAAUGCUUAGAUAUGACAUAGAACACCAAUUGCGAAGGCAGCUUACUACACAGUUAUUGACACUGAGGCACGAAAGCGUGGGGAUCAAACAGG